This 250-nucleotide ribosomal RNA is filed under the name uncultured bacterium. Its description in RNAcentral is "partial 16S ribosomal RNA". It matches the Rfam family "Bacterial small subunit ribosomal RNA", at positions 524 to 773 of the family's 1533-position model. The record is from RNAcentral.
UACGGAGGAUCCAAGCGUUAUCCGGAUUCAUUGGGUUUAAAGGGUGCGUAGGCGGAAUGAUAAGUCAGUGGUGAAAGCCUGCAGCUUAACUGCAGAACUGCCAUUGAUACUGUCAAUCUUGAGUACAUUUGAUGUGGGCGGAAUGUGUCAUGUAGCGGUGAAAUGCUUAGAUAUGACACAGAACACCGAUUGCGAAGGCAGCUCACAAAACUGUAACUGACGCUGAGGCACGAAAGCGUGGGUAUCAAAC